RNAcentral lists this transfer RNA (71 nucleotides) under Bos taurus (domestic cattle). It matches the Rfam family "tRNA". Rfam says of the family: Transfer RNA (tRNA) molecules are approximately 80 nucleotides in length. Lineage: Eukaryota; Metazoa; Chordata; Mammalia; Artiodactyla; Bovidae. The record is from Rfam by way of RNAcentral. RNAcentral also lists the same sequence under 5 other names.
UCCAUGGUGGCUCAGAUGGUAAAGAAUCUGCCUUAAAUGCAGAAGACCAGGGUUCAAUCCCUGCAUUGGUA